CCAUCUUGGUCUUGCCCUAUGGGGGCGGCCAUCUUGGUUUGCAGAGGGCUGCUAUCUUGCUCUAUGAGGGCAACCAUCGUGGUAUUGCCCUAUGGGGGCAGCCAUCUUGGUUUGCAGGGUGCAGCCAUCUUGUUCUUGCCUUAUGGGAGCAGCCAUCUUGGUUUGGAGGGUGCAGCCAUCUUGCUCUUGCCCUAUGGGGGCGGCCAUCUUGGUUUGCAGAGGGCUGCUAUCUUGCUCUAUGAGGGCAGCCAUCUUGGUAUUGCCCUAUGGGGGCAGCCAUCUUGGUUUGCAGGGUGCAGCCAUCUUGCUGUUUCCUUACGGGGGCAGCCGUCUUGGUUUGGAAGGUGCAGCCAUCUUGUUCUUCCUUUAUGGGGACAGCCAUUUUGGUUUGCAGGGGGCUGCCAUCUUGCCCUAUGGGGGCAGCCAUCUUAGUUUGGAGGGUGCAGUCAUCUGGUUCUUGUCCUAUGGGGGCAGACAUCUUGGUUUGCAGGGGGCUGCCAUCUUGCCGUAUGGGAGCAGCCAUCUUGUUUUUGUUGUAUGGGGGUAGCCAUCUUGGUUUCCAGGUGGCAGCCAUCUUGGUUUUGUGGGAUGGCAGCCGUCUUUGUUUCCUGUUGGCAGCCAUCUUGGCUUCCUGUUGGCAGCCAUCUUGGCAUGGCGGUCAAGCGGCCAUCUUGGUUUCCUACUGGUGGCCAUCUUGGCUUGGUGGGCUGGCAGCCAUCUUGGUUUCCUGGUGGCGGCCAUCUUGGUUUCUUGUUGGUGGCCAUCUUGGCUUCCUGUUGUCAGCCAUGUUGGCAUGGCGGUCAGGCGGCCAUCUUGGUUUCCUACUGGUGGCCAUUUUGGCUUAGUGGGCUGGCUGCCAUCUUGGUUUGCUGUUGUCAGCCGUCUUGCCCUGAUAGUGGCAGCCAUCUUGGCUUCCUGUUGGCAGCCAUCUUGGCUUGGUGGGCAGGCGGCCAUCUUGGCUUCCUGUUGGCGGCCAUCUUGGCUUGGUGGACAGUCGGCCAUCUUGGCUUCCUGUUGGUGGCCAUCUUGGCCUGUUGGCAGGCAUCUUGUUUUCCGGUUGUUGGCCAUCUUGGCUUCCUGUUGGCGGCCAUUUUGGCCUGGUUGGCAGACGGCCAUCUUGGCUUCCUAUUGGCGGCCAUCUUGCCUACAUUCCUCUCAUUUUUUUCCACUUUCCCCCCGUUUUCUCCCCGGUUUUGGCAGCGUGGUGCUGGCACGGCGCAGGCUGAGCACGCCAUCUUGUUUUCCUAUUGUCGGCCAUCUUGGCUUCCUGUUAGUGGCCAUCUUGACUUGGUGGGCAGGUGGCUAUCUUGCUUUCCUGUUGGCGGCCAUCUUGGCUUGGUGGGCAGGCGGCCAUCCUGUCUUCCGUUUGGCAGCCAUCCUGUCUUCCUGUUGGCGGCCAUCUUGGCUUCCUGUUGGUGGCCAUCUUGACUUGGUGGGCAGAUGGCCAUCUUGGCUUCCUGUUGGCGGCCAUCUUCGCUUGGUGGACAGUCGGCCAUCUUGGCUUCCUGUUGUUGGCCAUCUUGGCUUCCUAUUGGCGGCCAUCUUCGCUUGGUGGACAGUCGGCCAUCUUGGCUUCCUGUUGUUGGCCAUCUCGGCUUCCUGUUGGUGGCCAUCUUGGCUUGGUUGGCAGACGGCCAUCUUGGCUUCCUGUUGGCGGCCAUUUUGGCUUGGUGGCCAGGCAGCCAUCUUGCUUUCCUGUUGUUGGCCAUCUUGGUUUCCUGUUGGCGGCCAUCUUGGCCUGGUUGGCAGACGGCCAUCUUGGCUUCCUGUUGGCAGCCAUUUUGGCCUGGUGGGUAGGCAGUCAUCUUGCUUUCCUGUUGUUGGUCUUCUUCGCUUCCUGUUGGCAGCCAUCUUGGCUUGGUGGGCAAGCGGCCAUCUUGGCUUCCUGUUGGCAGCCAUCUUUUCUUCCUGUGGGUGGCCAUUUUGGCUUGGUGGGCAGUCGGCCAUCUUGGAUUUCGCGUUAAUGGCCAUCUUGCUUAAUUUCCUCUCAUUUUUUCCCACUUUCCCCCCGUUUUCUCCCCGGUUUUGGCAGCGUGGUGCUGGCACGGCGCAGGCUGAGCACAUCCCUGUCCGCUUUGCCGGCGGCGGCGCGGGAUUUCGUGGAGGAAGCCACCCGGUUGUGCCGACCCAGGGAAGUUUUGCUGUGCGAUGGAUCCGAGGAGGAGGGCAAGGAGCUGCUCAGGGGGCUGCAGGAGGACGGGGUGCUGCAUCCGCUGCCCAAAUAUGACAACUGGUGAGCAUUUUAGGGAGAAAAAUGGGAAUUUUGGGGUUAAAUCGGGGCAUUUGGGGUCGAAUCAGGGGAUUUUGAGGUCAAUCCGGUGCGUUUUGGGGUCAAAAAUGGGGGAUUUGGGGUCAAAAAUGGGGAAUUUGAGGUC
Molecule: long non-coding RNA, 2375 nt
Organism: Phasianus colchicus (ring-necked pheasant)
Lineage: Eukaryota; Metazoa; Chordata; Aves; Galliformes; Phasianidae
Source: Ensembl